AACGAACGCUGGCGGCAUGCCUAACACAUGCAAGUCGAACGAGACCUUCGGGUCUAGUGGCGCACGGGUGCGUAACGCGUGGGAACCUGCCCUUAGGUUCGGAAUAACUUCCCGAAAGGGGUGCUAAUACCGGCUAAUGUCUUCGGACCAAAGAUUUAUCGCCUUUGGAUGGGCCCGCGUUGGAUUAGAUAGUUGGUAGGGUAAAAGCCUACCAAGGCGACGAUCCAUAGCUGGUCUGAGAGGAUGAUCAGCCACACUGGGACUGAGACACGGCCCAGACUCCUACGGGAGGCAGCAGUGGGGAAUAUUGGACAAUGGGCGAAAGCCUGAUCCAGCAAUGCCGCGUGAGUGAUGAAGGCCUUAGGGUUGUAAAGCUCUUUUACCCGGGAUGAUAAUGACAGUACCGGGAGAAUAAGCUCCGGCUAACUCCGUG
This 433-nucleotide ribosomal RNA is filed under the name uncultured bacterium. RNAcentral's name for it is "partial 16S ribosomal RNA". It matches the Rfam family "Bacterial small subunit ribosomal RNA", at positions 29 to 507 of the family's 1533-position model. The record is from RNAcentral.